Mus caroli (Ryukyu mouse) is the source of this 1454-nucleotide long non-coding RNA. RefSeq lists it as uncharacterized. The record is from RefSeq and is a predicted model, not a curated record. NCBI's taxonomy places the organism in Eukaryota, Metazoa, Chordata, Mammalia, Rodentia, Muridae.
GCAGCCUGCUCUAGGAAUGGCCCUGGAGAACACUAAAGCAGUACAAAACAGCAAAUACUGUGAGCCCACUUCCAUGAAGUUCUGAGAAGAACCAGUGCUGGGUCGUGUUACAUCUACCCAUGAUAGAUACAUCUGCUCAUUUUGAGGAUCCAGUCAAGAGGAGUUAUGUGACAUGAGUGACCAGCCCUUCUCCAGGACUGUUCACAACUGUUCGGGACUCAAAGACAAAGAAAGAGAAAAAGGGAUGUUGUUUUGGAAACAAAAGCCCUAGUGUUUGGCUGGAGAAAUCAACUUUCCAUUGUCAGCAACUUGAGACCGGCCUGGAGCAGCUGUCAGCAGAGAGUGGCUGUGAACAUGUCUGCAGACAAGGUGGGCCAGCACAAUCCUUGGGGGAACGGGGUUUGGAAAUUGUGCAAAGUCCCAAACCUAGCCCCAGCCUUGGACUGUAUAGAUCUGGGUGGGCCCAGGAACCCAAUUCUAAGAAUCAACCCCCAGUGGGAACCACUUGGUAAAAAUCAUAGUUGGGAAAACUGAGGCUAAGCAGGAGAAGGGGACCUGAUGGGUCUCGUUAACCAAACAGCGGGACAGCUGGGACUAGCUGGUCCCCUUCCUGUUUUCUUCUCUCCUUUCCCUCUGCCUCCUUCCUAGGGCGGGCUGCUCCUGCCAUCAGCUGUGACUCAGAGUUCUGAGUCAUCAUGUGGCACUACAGAAGGAUCUUCUUAAGAAAAACAAUCCCUUACACAAAACUCCCCUGUUCUUAGGAACAGGAUAGGCCCCAAGGGCUGGGAGGAGGAGAGAGAAGAGUUGGGGCAGCGUGGGAAGCCAGGACUGCCCAGACCUGACUUGAGCAGAGCCCUACACAAGGAGCCUCAGUUCCUCACCUGCAAACAAGACUUCUACUGCACACAGAUACUCAGCAUGCAGUGGGCACCAUGACAAGAACUCUGUGUGUGUGUGUGUGUGUGUGUGUGUGUGUGUGUGUGUGUGCAUGUAGAGGCUAGAGAUCUUAAUUUGUGGGGAGGGGGCAUGUUUUCUCCUUGAACUGGGAGCUCACAUAUUGACUCUAACAGUCUAAGCCAGCAAGUCCUAGGGGAUCAUCUCUCUGCUUUCCCUUCCCACCUCCCCUCUCCUCCCCUCCCCUCCCCUCGACUCUGGUUAUAGAGAUGCCAGGGAGCCAACAGGUGUGUGGGGCCAGCACUUUACCUUCCGAGCCAUCUCCUCAGCUCCGUGAUAUGAGCCUCAUAAGCACCAUUUUUCUGAAUCUUCACUAAAACUUACGGGUGCCAUCACCCAGCUUCGUAGAUAAGGAACCAGGCUCAGAGAACUUCAGCUGAAGACCCCACAGUUGGGAACCUCGAAGCAGAGUUUAAACCCAGGGCUACUUGAUUUUUGAAGCCUGUUACUCUGUGUGUGUCUCUCUCCGUGUCUCCCUUCGUCUCUCUCUUUCUCUCUCU